GCGACCCCCGGUCAGGCGGGACUA
RNAcentral lists this ribosomal RNA (24 nucleotides) under Goodenia malvina. RNAcentral describes it as "partial 25S large subunit ribosomal RNA". The record is from RNAcentral. Lineage: Eukaryota; Viridiplantae; Streptophyta; Magnoliopsida; Asterales; Goodeniaceae.